Molecule: ribosomal RNA, 329 nt
Filed under: uncultured eukaryote
Lineage: Eukaryota
Description: partial 18S ribosomal RNA
Rfam family: Eukaryotic small subunit ribosomal RNA
Source: RNAcentral
CCCUUAGAUGUUCUGGGCCGCACGCGCGCUACACUGAUGCAUUCAACGAGUCUAAAACCUGCUCUGAUAGGGGUGGGUAAUCUUUUGAAUGUGCAUCGUGAUUGGGAUAGAUGAUUGCAAUUUUUCAUCUUCAACGAGGAAUGCCUAGUAAACGCAAGUCAUCAGCUUGCAUUGAUUACGUCCCUGCCCUUUGUACACACCGCCCGUCGCUCCUACCGAGUGAAUGAUCCGAUGAAUAUCAUGGAUUGAGGAUGCAAGUAGGUUCGCCUAUCUUCAUCUUCGAGAAGUGAAGUAAAUCUUAUCAUUUAGAGGAAGGAGAAGUCGUAACA